UACGUAGGGUGCGAGCGUUAAUCGGAAUUACUGGGCGUAAAGCGUGCGUAGGCGGUUCGUUAAGUGCGUCGUGAAAGCCCCGGGCUCAACCUGGGAAUGGCGAUGGAAACUGGCGGGCUGGAGUAUGGCAGAGGGGGGUGGAAUUCCGCGUGUAGCAGUGAAAUGCGUAGAGAUGUGGAGGAACACCGAUGGCGAAGGCAGCCCCCUGGGUCAACACUGACGCUCAUGCACGAAAGCGUGGGGAGCAAACAGG
RNAcentral lists this ribosomal RNA (253 nucleotides) under uncultured bacterium. Its description in RNAcentral is "partial 16S ribosomal RNA". It matches the Rfam family "Bacterial small subunit ribosomal RNA", at positions 524 to 776 of the family's 1533-position model. The record is from RNAcentral.